This 274-nucleotide ribosomal RNA is filed under the name uncultured bacterium. RNAcentral's name for it is "partial 16S ribosomal RNA". It matches the Rfam family "Bacterial small subunit ribosomal RNA", at positions 523 to 796 of the family's 1533-position model. The record is from RNAcentral.
AUACGGAGAGGGCGAGCGUUGUUCGGAUUUACUGGGCGUAAAGGGCAUGUAGGUGUCCCGAUAAGCUCUGGGUGAAAUCUCCGCGCUCAACGCGGAAACGAAUCAGAGAACUAUCGGGAUAGAGUUCAGGAGAAGAGAGUGGAAUUCUCAGUGUAGCGGUGAAAUGCGUAGAUAUUGAGAAGAACACCAGCGGCGAAGGCGGCUCUCUAUUCUGAAACUGACACUCAAAUGCGAAAGCGUGGGGAGCGAAUGGGAUUAGAAACCCUAGUAGUCC